This 447-nucleotide ribosomal RNA is filed under the name uncultured bacterium. RNAcentral describes it as "bacterial SSU rRNA". It matches the Rfam family "Bacterial small subunit ribosomal RNA", at positions 28 to 466 of the family's 1533-position model. The record is from RNAcentral.
GACGAACGCUGGCGGCGCGCCUAACACAUGCAAGUCGAGCGAGAACCGGGACUUCGGUCCCGGGGACAGCGGCGAACGGGUGAGUAACACGUGGAUAACCUGCCCUCGGCACCGGAAUAGCCCGGGGAAACUCGGAUUAAUGCCGGAUAGCCCCACAUCCCUGCGGGGAACGUGGGAAAAGGUAGCUUCGGCCUCUGGCCGAGGAUGGGUCCGCGGUGGAUUAGCUUGUUGGUGCGGGUAAUGGCCCACCAAGGCGACGAUCCAUAGCUGGUCUGAGAGGACGAUCAGCCACACUGGGACUGAGACACGGCCCAGACUCCUACGGGAGGCAGCAGUGGGGAAUCUUGCGCAAUGGGCGAAAGCCUGACGCAGCGACGCCGCGUGCGGGAAGAAGGCCUUCGGGUUGUAAACCGCUUUCAGGAGGGACGAAGCCACUCGGGUUAAUAG